RNAcentral lists this long non-coding RNA (469 nucleotides) under Ananas comosus (pineapple). RNAcentral's name for it is "long non-coding RNA (ACOM_LNC026677)". Lineage: Eukaryota; Viridiplantae; Streptophyta; Magnoliopsida; Poales; Bromeliaceae. The record is from RNAcentral.
GGAACUGAUGAUUCCGCAAUAGUCGUUGACCCUAGUGUAGGGCGUCCUCACUCGGAGAGGAUUCGAUUGGGUUAUUGACUCUAGUUGUAGAGCCUCCUCACUUGGAGAGGAUUGGAUUGGGUGUAGACCCUAGUUACAGUGUGUCCUCACAUAGAGAGGAUGGAUCUAGCUCACAGUCUGCGUUUAGGGUGGCAUAGCCAUCCAAUCCCCACAUGGAGGGGAUUGUCGUCGAGUACUCCGGAGUGUCGCGCGACUAGGACCACUUGGAGGUCCGGACCACAUGGAGGUCCGCAGACGGUCCCGGGCUUGGGUGCACUUGGAGCUCCCUCCCCACUUUGGGAUUUGAAGGUGAGUCAUGGGCGAGCCCUAGGGCCUCGCCACAGAUUGGGUAAAUGGAAAGGUUAUUAAUGUCAUUGAACAUUGCUAUUCGAACAUGGAUCGAAUUUGUUAGCAUGAUAGCAAACCUUUA